Molecule: ribosomal RNA, 198 nt
Filed under: uncultured bacterium
Lineage: Bacteria
Description: partial 16S ribosomal RNA
Rfam family: Bacterial small subunit ribosomal RNA
Source: RNAcentral
ACGCUCGACACCUACGGGAGGCAGCAGUGGGGAAUAUUGCACAAUGGGGGAAACCCUGAUGCAGCGACGCCGUGUGAGUGAAGAAGUAUUUCGGUAUGUAAAGCUCUAUCAGCAGGGAAGAAGAUGACGGUACCUGAGUAAGAAGCCCCGGCUAACUACGUGCCAACAGCCGCGGUAAUCUGAGCGGGCUGGCAAGGC